Molecule: non-coding RNA, 32 nt
Filed under: Mus musculus (house mouse)
Lineage: Eukaryota; Metazoa; Chordata; Mammalia; Rodentia; Muridae
Source: RNAcentral
UUUUGAGGAGCAAUGUAUACAUUAAGGUGUGU